This 91-nucleotide non-coding RNA is filed under the name Bacillus sp. SJS. RNAcentral describes it as "Bacterial small subunit ribosomal RNA". It matches the Rfam family "Bacterial small subunit ribosomal RNA", at positions 1 to 100 of the family's 1533-position model. The record is from Rfam by way of RNAcentral. Lineage: Bacteria; Bacillati; Bacillota; Bacilli; Caryophanales; Bacillaceae.
UUUUUGGAGAGUUUGAUCCUGGCUCAGGACGAACGCUGGCGGCGUGCCUAAUACAUGCAAGUCGAGCGGACCUCUUCGGAGGUCAGCGGCG